UGGGGAAUCUUGCGCAAUGGACGAAAGUCUGACGCAGCCACGCCGCGUGAGUGAAGAAGGCCUUAGGGUUGUAAAGCUCUGUCGCCCGGGACGAAAAUCCUAUCAGUGAAUAGCUGAUAGGACUGACGGUACCGGGAGAGGAAGCACCGGCUAACUCCGUGCCAGCAGCCGCGGUAAUACGGAGGGUGCAAGCGUUGCUCGGAAUUAUUGGGCGUAAAGGGUAGGUAGGUGGUCUUAUUUGUCUGAGGUGAAAGCCUUGAGCUUAACUCAAGAAGUGCCUCAGAAACGGUGAGACUAGAGUUCUGGAGAGGGUCGUGGAAUUCCCGGUGUAGCGGUGAAAUGCGUAGAGAUCGGGAGGAACACCAGAGGCGAAGGCGGCGACCUGGACAGAUACUGACACUCAACUACGAAAGCGUGGGGAGCAAACAGGAUUAGAUACCCCCGUAGUCC
This 450-nucleotide ribosomal RNA is filed under the name uncultured bacterium. RNAcentral's name for it is "bacterial SSU rRNA". It matches the Rfam family "Bacterial small subunit ribosomal RNA", at positions 355 to 796 of the family's 1533-position model. The record is from RNAcentral.